This is a small nuclear RNA of Phascolarctos cinereus (koala), 105 nucleotides long. Lineage: Eukaryota; Metazoa; Chordata; Mammalia; Diprotodontia; Phascolarctidae. The record is from Ensembl.
AUUUGAGUAUCAUAUGUACUAACCCAAUAUGAAAUAAUACAUAGAAUAUUAGCAUGACCUCUAUGUAAGUAUGACAUGCAAAUUAAUAAAGCGUUGCAGGUCUUU